UUCGGUUUGGGUGGCGGACGGGUGAGUAACGCGUAAAGAACUUGCCUCACAGCUAGGGACAACAUUUGGAAACGAAUGCUAAUACCUGAUAUUAUGAUUAUAUGGCAUCGUAUAAUUAUGAAAGCUGAAUGCGCUGUGAGAGAGCUUUGCGUCCCAUUAGCUAGUUGGAGAGGUAACGGCUCACCAAGGCGAUGAUGGGUAGCCGGCCUGAGAGGGUGAUCGGCCACAAGGGGACUGAGACACGGCCCUUACUCCUACGGGAGGCAGCAGUGGGGAAUAUUGGACAAUGGACCGAGAGUCUGAUCCAGCAAUUCUGUGUGCACGAUGAAGUUUUUCGGAAUGUAAAGUGCUUUCAGUUGGGAAGAAAAAAAUGACGGUACCAACAGAAGAAGUGACGGCUAAAUACGUGCCAGCAGCCGCGGUAAUACGUAUGUCACGAGCGUUAUCCGGAUUUAUUGGGCGUAAAGCGCGUCUAGGUGGUUAUGUAAGUCUGAUGUGAAAAUGCAGGGCUCAACUCUGUAUUGCGUUGGAAACUGUAUAACUAGAGUACUGGAGAGGUAAGUGGAACUACAAGUGUAGAGGUGAAAUUCGUAGAUAUUUGUAGGAAUGCCGAUGGGGAAGCCAGCUUACUGGACAGAUACUGACGCUGAAGCGCGAAAGCGUGGGUAGCAAACAGGAUUAGAUACCCUGGUAGUCCACGCCGUAAACGAUGAUUACUAGGUGUUGGGGGUCGAACCUCAGCGCCCAAGC
This 750-nucleotide ribosomal RNA is filed under the name uncultured Fusobacterium sp. Its description in RNAcentral is "bacterial SSU rRNA". It matches the Rfam family "Bacterial small subunit ribosomal RNA", at positions 85 to 852 of the family's 1533-position model. The record is from RNAcentral. Lineage: Bacteria; Fusobacteriati; Fusobacteriota; Fusobacteriia; Fusobacteriales; Fusobacteriaceae.